Non-coding RNA from Saccharomyces cerevisiae S288C, 905 nucleotides. Lineage: Eukaryota; Fungi; Ascomycota; Saccharomycetes; Saccharomycetales; Saccharomycetaceae. The record is from RefSeq.
AGGGAUGGAACAGAUGACGACGAAGAAGAUUAAGUAAAAAAGGUAAAGGGAGACGAGAUGGUGACAAGUAUCUCUUUUUUUUAUUGCCUUUUUCAUAUUACCUAUUACCGCAAACUGAUAUAUUUCUCAAAGGAGAAAUAGUAAAGUGGAAGAGGUUUGGGUCUCUUGGUAACCGGACUACAUUUGCAAGUUGCAUCUUCCAUCGAAGUAUUAAUUCCCUCCAUCCUCUUCUCACUAACACCGGCACGAUUUUAAAAAUUUUUCAACUCCGUUGUUGAAUUACGUAUUCCUCUUUAUGGUAAGCGCUAAGAUGAACAGCGCUGAAAAGCAAAAUUUGAAUGCUUGAAAUUCAGAACAUGACUAUUCGUUCAGUACUCGCUUCAUUUGCAUCCUUAGUUAAUUUGGCCUGAAUUACUUUUUGAAUUCAAGAGAUAGUGCAUAAAAUGCGGCCCCCCUUUCCAGCUUCCAUAAAUUGCGCUGAUUGCAUGUCUGACUAAGCUUUUUUUUUUUUUUAAGCGACCUUGUCUCGAGGAGCAUAAUAAAAAAAAGGGAGUAAGGUCGGCGGCAGUCGCUUUUAUUAAACUGAAGUAAAACAGAACAAAAAUUACUUAAGGGUCGCUAAUAUUACCCUUAUCCUCUCAACAAAAGAUAAGAAAUUAAUUGACCUAUACCUAUAAUACCUAAUAAACCCAAAAGUGUCUUGCUCUGAUGUAUUUGUUUUUUUUAACACAACCUUGCUACCUUAGGCCAUCGAGAAGAGAUUGAGGUCAAAGUGGAAGCGUUGGAAAAGAAGGAAGACCCAUAGUAUAAUGAAGCUAGUUACCAUCCUUAGACGACGCCCAUAUUUUUCAAUUUCUCUUAUUUUUUUUUUACGCAGCGUAGCAGUUAUGGACAAAAGCCGGCCU